UACGUAGGGGGCGAGCGUUGUCCGGAGUACUGGCGUAAGCGCACGCAGGCGGUCUGCUAAGUUUGGAGUGACAGUUGGUGGCUUAACUGCCAAAGUGCUUCGAAAACUGACAGACUUGAGGGCUUCAGAGGGACACGGAAUUCCGGGUGGAGUGGUGAAAUGCGGUAGAGAUCCGGAGGAACACCAAAGGCGAAGGCAGUGAUCCUGGG
RNAcentral lists this ribosomal RNA (209 nucleotides) under uncultured bacterium. RNAcentral describes it as "partial 16S ribosomal RNA". It matches the Rfam family "Bacterial small subunit ribosomal RNA", at positions 524 to 734 of the family's 1533-position model. The record is from RNAcentral.